Non-coding RNA from Zophobas morio, 75 nucleotides. The record is from the annotation of a RefSeq genome assembly. Lineage: Eukaryota; Metazoa; Arthropoda; Insecta; Coleoptera; Tenebrionidae.
GGCUCGUUGGCUCAGUUGGUUAGAGCGCCGCGCUGUGUACGACGGAGGUCGUAGGUUCGAUCCCUACACGGGCCC